GGCGUGGGAAUGUUGUGUAGUGGGCAUGGAAAUGUUGCGUAGUGGGAAUGUUGUGUAGUGGGCGUGGGAAUGUUGUGUAGUGGGCGUG
Molecule: non-coding RNA, 88 nt
Organism: Pangasianodon gigas (Mekong giant catfish)
Lineage: Eukaryota; Metazoa; Chordata; Actinopteri; Siluriformes; Pangasiidae
Source: the annotation of a GenBank genome assembly